RNAcentral lists this ribosomal RNA (160 nucleotides) under uncultured bacterium. RNAcentral describes it as "partial 16S ribosomal RNA". It matches the Rfam family "Bacterial small subunit ribosomal RNA", at positions 331 to 508 of the family's 1533-position model. The record is from RNAcentral.
CGAAACUCCUACGGGAGGCAGCAGUGGGGAAUAUUGCACAAUGGGGGAAACCCUGAUGCAGCGACGCCGCGUGGAGGAAGAAGGUCUUCGGAUUGUAAACUCCUGUUGUUGAGGAAGAUAAUGACGGUACUCAACAAGGAAGUGACGGCUAACUACGUGC